AACGACGCUGGCGGCAGGCCUAACACAUGCAAGUCGAGCGCGCCCUUCGGGGUGAGCGGCGGACGGGUUAGUAACGCGUGGGAAUAUGCCCAAAGGUACGGAAUAGCCUCUGGAAACGGAGAGUAAUACCGUAUGUGCCCUUCGGGGGAAAGAUUUAUCGCCUUUGGAUUAGCCCGCGUUAGAUUAGGUAGUUGGUGGGGGUAAUGGCCUACCAAAGCCUACGAUCUAUAGCUGGUUUUUAGAGGAUGAUCAGCAACACUGGGACGUGAGACACGGCCCACGAACUCCUACGGGAGGGCAGCAGUGGGGAAGUACUUGGUACAAUGGGGGCGAACCCUCGAUCCAGCCAUGCCGCGUGAGUGA
This 363-nucleotide ribosomal RNA is filed under the name uncultured Alphaproteobacteria bacterium. RNAcentral's name for it is "bacterial SSU rRNA". It matches the Rfam family "Bacterial small subunit ribosomal RNA", at positions 33 to 408 of the family's 1533-position model. Lineage: Bacteria; Pseudomonadati; Pseudomonadota; Alphaproteobacteria. The record is from RNAcentral.